Small nucleolar RNA from Cynocephalus volans (Philippine flying lemur), 131 nucleotides. RefSeq annotates it as small nucleolar RNA SNORA33. The transcript has a single exon. Lineage: Eukaryota; Metazoa; Chordata; Mammalia; Dermoptera; Cynocephalidae. The record is from RefSeq and is a predicted model, not a curated record.
AAGCCAGACAAUGAAUCUGCUUACCUGAAUGUGAUUCUGUAGAAAUUUAGAAACAGCUGGCAAUAGUAAAGCCCAUGUUUUGGGUCUUAAAUACAUUGAAGUCAUUGAGAUCCCUGAAAAUGGCUACAACA